CCAGUUGGCCGGGCAGCCGCGCUUUACCAAUGUCGAAAGACGGUAGGGUGAGGAAAGUCCGGGCUCCACGGAAACACGGUGCCGGAUAACGUCCGGCGAGGGCGACCUCAGGGAAAGUGCCACAGAAAGCAAACCGCCUGCUUCGGCAGGUAAGGGUGAAAGGGUGGGGUAAGAGCCCACCGCGUCUCCGGCAACGGCGAUGGCAAGGUAAACCCCACCGGGAGCAAGACCGAAUAGGGAUGACGCGGGCGGCGCAAGCCGUCCGGCUGGUUUCCAGGCCAGUCAUCCGGGUGGGUUGCGAGAGGCAACGUGCAAACGUUGUCCCAGAGGAAUGGCUGCCACGUUCCGGUUUCGGCCGGAGCCAUACAGAACCCGGCUUACAGGCCAACUGGCGAU
This 396-nucleotide RNase P RNA is filed under the name Rhizobium sp. S163. Its description in RNAcentral is "RNase P RNA component class A". It matches the Rfam family "Bacterial RNase P class A". From Rfam's summary of the family: Ribonuclease P (RNase P) is a ubiquitous endoribonuclease, found in archaea, bacteria and eukarya as well as chloroplasts and mitochondria. Its best characterised activity is the generation of mature 5'-ends of tRNAs by cleaving the 5'-leader elements of precursor-tRNAs. Lineage: Bacteria; Pseudomonadati; Pseudomonadota; Alphaproteobacteria; Hyphomicrobiales; Rhizobiaceae. The record is from RNAcentral.